UCGGCUUCCUCUCCUCCCUGCCGCCUCCACCCAAACCCUAACCCUAGCUGCUCCACGCCGCCGCCAUCUCCGUCGCCCAGCCUGCCGGAUCCUCGCCGUCUCUCGUCCUCUCCCGUCGCUGCUGCUACCCCUUGCGCCGCCCCCAGCCUCCUCACCCGGACACGGCGACCAUGAGCGCCAGCGAGAGCAGGAAGGCUGGCGACUGGGCGCUGCCGUACAAGGGCCUGGCGGCCACCUCUGCGAGUGGGACGACUUGCGCGCGUGCCAUCGCCGGGAGGAGCGUCGGCUGCCGAGAACACGGCGGCAAUAGGAGGCGACAUGAAGAUGGCAUGUGGAGGAUGGCUCUCCGAGAUGGCUGCUGCGGCACCGUCGCCGUCGUUCUUUCCAUGGACAACCAGAUACUCAGGAGUGGCCCGUGCAAACAAUGUACAGGAAGCAAGCCAAGCAGGAAAAUGCAUUGUAUGAUAUAUAUUGGAGAAAAAAAGGCAUAAAAGCAGCACUACGGGUUCACCUAAUAGUACAAGACUUUCAGUAUCCGUCAUCCGCUGUUGGGUUCAUCGAGAGAAUACCGAAAGCGCUACGGCUAUGAAGAUGACAUGUUGAAGAAGCACCAUCGGCGUCAGCUUCACCCUUCUCCUCGGCAUGGAGAAGAUGUCACUCCCAAGUCGUGUGGAGAGCGGGCUGUCACGCAGCUGCAGCCUCCUCUCGCGCUGCUCCCAGGAUGAGGCUGCCGCCUCAAUACCCUGCCUAGCCCCCGCUUCGUUACGAGCAGCGAGCCCGGCUUUGACAUAGGGUUUGGCGAGCGAGCUCACUGCCAACCCCCUCAGAUCUGGUCGACUCGUCGCUGCCCGCCGUCAGAUCCGUGGUGCGUGGCAUGUUGAUGCUAGAAAAUGAUGUGGGUACAAGAAAAUGAUGUGAGAUAUGCCAGGAUUAGGCGGAGAUGAUGAAAGACUUUGUAAAAAAGUCAGAUAUGUUUUGAGGUUUCCAUAGAGCCGGCCAAUGAAACAACGCUGGUUUAUAGAACACAUCGUUUCUUCACAAUUUGACUACUAUGGUCACCGAAUCCUUGGAACAGGUUUCAGCUAAGGGUUGCAGAUGUUUUGUUUGGCUUGCAUGAAUUAAACCAUGCUUCCAGUUUUAAAGUACACUUGAGCCACAGUUGCUAAUAGUUCCAAGCUGAUGUUUGAUCCCCUUGCAUGAAUUGAACAUGCUACUCUGAAAUCAGAGAGCAGACAACUGUAGGUUUAUUUUUUGUUAAAGUAUAGUAGCUACUAGCUACUCUAUAUGCAAUGCGAGCAGAUUGUAAAAUAUGCAAACCCCUGAUGUAUACUAGGAAGUGUUAGUGUCUAGGACCCGCCGGUGAGCUGAUCCACCCUUUAGUUUUCCACCUUUUACUUUUAGCGUUUACUUUUCUUGUCCUUUCCUAUGGAUUUUCAUUAUUUCUCUUCUUUAUAUGUUCAAAUUGUAAAGGAGGGAAAAUGCACAUGUAUGUCCUUGAUGUAGAUCUCUGUGAUUUAUAUAUGUGCUCACGAGGACAUUCCCAUUGCAUCUGAAUUGACAAGUUGAAGAAUCUGGUCAUUUUGUGCUUGCCUACAGAACUGAUAUUUGUUAGCCAAACAAAAACGACUGAUGGUUGAUUAUCUCAACCACGAACGAGCAUUUCUGGAUUGUAGAACAAAGAGUGUCCCGGGCAAAAGGAUCAAGUUCUGGCGGGUGGGCAUCGGGAGUCCAGCUGGUUGGCUUCAGUCUUUGGGGUGCUGCCGGCUAGCGGCGCUGCUUCUGAGUGUCUCCUCAUCUCACUCCCGUGGCACCUUCGACCGGGAAAGGCUGCGUACAAUAGACCCAAAGUGGUCGGACCCUUCCCUGGACCCUGCGCAAGCGGGAGCUACAUGCACCGGGUUGCCCUUUUUUUGAAUACCUCUCAUAGGUCAAUAGCUUCUCAUGAUGGAGCACAAGGCCCUGUUGCAGUUAGCCCUGGAAAUGUUAGCUCUGCUAGGAGCCAACAUAACAGAAGCAUAGAAGAUGAUGCCUAGAACAUUGAGGUGAAGAAUGGAAGAUGAUGCACAGUCGUACAUGUGCUUACUUGAUGUUGUGCUAAGCCAUUUUGUGAGAAAUUGAGAUUGAGAAAUGAUGUUAUGUUAUCGCUAUGUCAUUCUAUGAGGACAGAGAAUUGUGUACUUAUUUUUAUUUGAUGUUAUGUCAUUUUAUGGGAAUCUGAGAGCUUAUUUGGUGA
Aegilops tauschii subsp. strangulata is the source of this 2233-nucleotide non-coding RNA. The record is from RefSeq and is a predicted model, not a curated record. NCBI's taxonomy places the organism in Eukaryota, Viridiplantae, Streptophyta, Magnoliopsida, Poales, Poaceae.